This 253-nucleotide ribosomal RNA is filed under the name uncultured bacterium. RNAcentral describes it as "partial 16S ribosomal RNA". It matches the Rfam family "Bacterial small subunit ribosomal RNA", at positions 524 to 776 of the family's 1533-position model. The record is from RNAcentral.
UACGAAGGGGGCUAGCGUUGCUCGGAAUCACUGGGCGUAAAGCGCACGUAGGCGGAUUGCUAAGUCAGGGGUGAAAUCCUGGAGCUCAACUCCAGAACUGCCCUUGAUACUGGCGGUCUCGAGUCCGGAGAGGUGAGUGGAACUGCGAGUGUAGAGGUGAAAUUCGUAGAUAUUCGCAAGAACACCAGUGGCGAAGGCGGCUGACUGGCCCGGUUACUGACGCUGAGGCGCGAAAGCGUGGGGAGCGAACAGG